Molecule: RNA transcript, 5245 nt
Organism: Varanus komodoensis (Komodo dragon)
Lineage: Eukaryota; Metazoa; Chordata; Lepidosauria; Squamata; Varanidae
Gene: SFPQ
Gene name: splicing factor proline and glutamine rich
Exons: 13
Source: RefSeq, a predicted model, not a curated record
UUAAUCUCAGCGCGGUCGCCAUUUUGUCUUCGGUCGGAUACCGAGGCGGGAAAGAGUCGUUUCGCUGCCAGGUACCACGUCAACCGCCACCAUUUUCGCCAUGUCGAGAGACCGUUUUCGCAGCCGUGGAGGCGGCUUCCAUCGGCGCGGCGGUGGCGGAGGCCGAGGCGGCCUCCCGGGGACCCACGACUUCCGCUCUCCGCCACCGGGCAUGGCGGGCGGGAUGGGGCAGUCCCGUGGCAGCAGCCACCACCACAUCAGCGGCGGCGGCAGCCUCGGGGGCCCUCCGAAGUCGGAACCCGCCAAGCCGCCCAGCUCGGCCUCCACCCCUCCGUCGUCCGCGGCCUCCGUCUCCGUCUCCUCGAGUCCGGCGGGUUCGUCGCCUGCAGUGGGGGGAUCCGCGCAGAACCAGGUUGGGCCGCCGCCUGCGGCCUCCUCGGCCUCCUCCGUCACGACGGCGAGCUCGACCCCGACCCCCACCACCGCCUCGGGGCUCCAGAGUGGAGGCCGAGGAGGGGAUCAGCCAACGCAGCAAGCCGGUGCACCUCCCGGACAAAGCUCCGUCCAAGGCGGCUCCAAAAAAGGGCCCGGCCAGUCUCCCGGAGCGGGAGGCGGAGGCCCGGUCGGCGGUCCGAAGGGUGGCCCAGGAGGCUCCCAGCAGGGCGGCGGCGCCAAGGGCGGAGGAGGGCUCGGCCAGCACCGCGGAGGCGGCGAGAGGCGUGGGGGCCAGAGCCAGCACCACUCCUCGCAGCAGCAGCAGCACUCGUCGCAGCAGCCGCCGCCGCAAGGCCCCGGCGGGGAGAAAAUGUCCGAUGCGGAGGGCUUCAAAGCCAAUCUCUCUCUUUUGAGAAGGCCUGGAGAGAAGACUUACACUCAACGAUGUCGUCUUUUUGUUGGGAAUUUGCCUGCUGAUAUCACAGAAGAGGAGUUUAAAAGGCUAUUUUCUAAAUAUGGUGAACCUGGUGAAGUCUUUAUCAAUAAAGGAAAAGGCUUUGGCUUUAUCAAACUGGAAUCCCGAGCUCUAGCUGAAAUAGCAAAGGCAGAACUCGAUGAUAUUCCCAUGAGAGGAAGACAGCUUCGUGUGCGUUUUGCCACCCAUGCAGCUGCCCUUUCUGUCCGUAAUCUUUCCCCAUAUGUAUCGAAUGAACUACUGGAGGAAGCCUUCUCUCAGUUUGGCCCUAUUGAAAGAGCUAUUGUGAUAGUAGAUGAUCGUGGCAGAUCUACAGGAAAAGGCAUUGUUGAAUUUGCAUCGAAGCCUGCAGCACGAAAAGCAUUUGAACGAUGCACUGAAGGUGUCUUUCUGUUGACAACAACUCCCAGGCCAGUUAUUGUGGAGCCACUUGAGCAACUGGAUGAUGAAGAUGGUCUUCCGGAAAAACUUGCCCAGAAAAACCCAAUGUAUCAAAAGGAGAGAGAGACUCCUCCACGGUUUGCACAGCCUGGAAGUUUUGAAUAUGAAUAUUCCCAGCGCUGGAAAUCUUUGGAUGAAAUGGAGAAACAACAGAGAGAUCAAGUAGAAAAAAAUAUGAAAGAUGCCAAGGAUAAACUGGAAAGCGAAAUGGAAGAUGCCUAUCAUGAGCAUCAGGCAAACCUCUUGCGUCAAGAUCUCAUGAGGCGACAGGAAGAAUUGAGGCGUAUGGAAGAACUUCACAAUCAAGAGAUGCAAAAACGCAAGGAAAUGCAGUUGAGGCAGGAAGAAGAGCGCCGUAGGCGAGAGGAGGAGAUGAUGAUCCGCCAGCGUGAGAUGGAAGAGCAAAUGAGAAGACAGAGGGAAGAAAGUUACAGUAGAAUGGGUUAUAUGGACCCUGUAAGUCAGGAUUGGAAGAAUUUCAGUAAUCUUGUUACACAGAGGGAGAGAGACAUGAGGAUGGGAGGCACCACCACAAUGAAUAUGGGAGAUCCCUAUGGUACAGCUGCUCAGAAAUUCCCACCUUUAGGGGGUGGUACUGGCCUUGGCUAUGAAACCAGUCCUGGAGUUGGACAAACAUCUAUGAGUGGCUCUAUGAUGGGAAGCGAUAUGCGCCCUGAGCGAUUUGGGCAGGGAGGUGCGGGGCCUGUAGGUGGCCAGGGCCCUAGAGGAAUGGGGCCUGGAACUCCAGCAGCUUAUGGGAGAGGGAGAGAAGAAUAUGAAGGCCCAAACAAAAAACCCCGAUUUUAGAUGUGACUCCUAGAUUUUCAUUCCAGUUCUGUUUGUCUUGUUUAGACACUACUUUUUUUUAAUUCUUGCAUUUUAGUAAGAAAGCUACAUUUUUAUGGAUGUUAGAAACUUAAUGACCUAGCAUUUGUAAGUGGUCUGGGCAAGAAAAAUACAAUUAUGUAAUGCAGUGUUCAAAACCUAGCUUUUUGAUGUAUAACGUCCCUACCUUGAUGGCAGUGUACCGUGUGCCAUUUGAAUUCCCAAGUGUAAACUUUUUUUACUGUGCUUAAAAUAAAUAGACUAAAUGUAGCAAUGAUUCUUAUAUUGUAAACUUUGCCAAUUGCAGUUUCAAGUAUACAGGGUGAAUAUGCUGCACUUUCCAGUGUGCAGUACAUUGCUUGGCUCUAAUCUGGUGUAUUGCGCAGUAUGCCUUAGAUGCUGCCAUGGCAUAAAAUGUCUUAAUUGACCUACUUACCUACAAGUAUGCAAUGUUGACCUAACAAGACUUAAACAUGAAAUGUUACAGGUGAAGUUUCACUCUGCAAAGUCUCUAGCUUGAGUUCUACAGAAGUUGCAGCAUUAUUAGUGCUUGUUUGAGUUUAGGAACCUCAGUUGCCCUUCAGUAAGAGAGCAAAGGGAAACUUUAUAAAAUAAUCCAGGGUUAACUUUCAAAUGAUGCAGUCAGAUAAGUUAGAUUUUACUGAGUAAUGUGGGAUUUGCUGCUGUGGGUGUGAUCUGGUAGCAUUUGCUGCUGGGUAUCUUAACAGCAUUUCCAUUCCAUGUUCCAUAAGUCAUGACAUGGCUUGUAUAUACUGAUAUCCCCUUAAAGGAUGGUUCAGUGUGACAUUCCUUCAAUAUGACUCAGUGUAUAGGAUUUGGGUGACUGAAUUUACAGUUAACAUUUAAUCAUGCUUGUCACAAGCAGUGAAUAUGGGAGGGCACUUGUAUUUUUAUAACUUGUAUCAUAAUUUGGGAACUGGAGUGCAAAAACGAAAGUAUCCUUUGAAACUUCAGGGUUAAAAUAUUUCAUAGAGUCUUGCAUUGUAGUAACUUGCCAGAUAACAUUUGACACUUGGAAGUCUAAAUACAAGGGUUGCAUAGUACAAAGUUGUGUUGAACCUUGCAGAAGAGUUGCAUUUCUCAGCCUUAACUUAUUAAAAACACGUGUAUGAAUUCAAGGUGUCCUGGAAUCCAUGAUAACACCUAAAAUGCUGGGUGCAGAGUUACCCAGUUAAAGCACUAGGGGUUGAUGAAAUUAAGAUCAACCUGAUUGGAGACCAAUUCUUGAGUGCUACAUAGCAUUUAAUUAUUUAAAUCAGGGGUGGGGAACUGAUUUUCUGAUGACACAUUUAUUUAGAGGUAAUUUGGAGCUACAAGCCAGCAGUGUGUGAGUCUGGAGCCAAAAAGUGGGCAGAGAUACUCUCUUUCUCAGCUGUUUCGUUCCCAGGAGGUGGCUGUGGAAGAACAGAAUAGCUUUUGACAGAAAUCUAAACUGGUCUCCCCAGCUUUUAUUACUCCAUUUUGACUGUCUCCCAACCUUCCUAUUCUCUUGGUGUUGCUCAGUCCCAUAAAAAUUAAGCCCUUAGGUCCAGAUUCCCCAUCCCUGCUUUAAACACCUUACUUGGUUUUGAGAAGAAUGGACUGCCUUAAAGUUUUUGUAACAUCAGUGGGUAAAGUCUUGGUGCCAUAAGUUACUAAGCACUUUGACUAUGCAAACUUGUUAGUACAAAGGUUAUGUGCUAAGCAACCAAUUUAAAUGCAAAAAUGCCGGUAAACUGUUGAUCGUCAAGGUUGCUGGAUGAUUGCUUCUAAUAGAGUGUUGUGGUUGGAUGGUUCUGCAUUCCCAGAUGCAUUCAAGAAUAUGAAAGAUGAAGCCAGCUGCUAUUUAAACUGUAUGGGGAAAAAUUAACCUGCAGUUACUGAUGCAGAGAUACCCUUGUAAUACAAUUCAGAUUAAAUGUCAUUGUGUGUUAGGGCCUCAGCCAUUUGCAGGUCAGCUUUUAAAAGGGUGUUCCCAGGACACCCACUGUAGGAAAUUUUGAGAUCAACAGAGUUGGGGGCCUUUGGACAUGGACACUAAUUUUCAGUUUAUUUUUCAGAUUACAUGCCAUUUUUCCUUAGGAUGCUGGCACAUACCUAAACCAUGCUCUUUUGUAGUACUGUAAUCUUGAAGAGUGAAGGAGGCUGAUGGUCCCAUUAUCUUCCUAAGGUUCAUCUCUUGUUUCAUUCUGUCUAAAAGUAGGCUGAUAAUAAAUCUGGAAGGAAGUAGUGGGAGCUGCAGGAAAUUCUUAUACUUAAUCUGACAAGUGCUGUUGUCAACUGCACAUUCAGUACCUGUACAGUAGUUUUACUUCAAAGCACGUUAAGUAGGGUGGUCCCUAAGUACUAGCAAAUUAAUUUAUACUGGAUUUUCACUGAAUUGGAUGUUUCUUGAGUAGCUUUUCCAAAAGCAUCUUCAACCUUUGUUUGGGCUUACUUAACCAGUGCAUUUGGAGCAGAAGAGUGACUGUUAAACUUACGCAUGCCCGCCAUGCUUUUAUAAAAGGACAUCAGUGCACAUUCCAGGGUCUUCCAAGGGUUGGACACCCCAAGCAUGCUAUACCCACAUCUUUGCCAGUUAUUAAUAACUGAAUUUCUGUUUCUGUGCGUAUUCUGUGGUACCUCCGUUUUUGAAAAAGUUCUUGGCGUCUCCUUGGCAACCACUUGUGGCAGCAUGCUUUUUUCUGGAGUUGAGACUGCAAUUUGACACUGUUUAAAAGUAGUGGCCUGCUACGUAACAGCACUUAGACAGCAUUUCUGCAGUGCAUAACUGUGAGGAACGUAGUACCACAAGUGGCAAUGGACAUUAGGACCUGGAUGUAGUAUUCCUGCUUGCUCCGAGAUUCUCAUUGUCGCCUGCAUACAGGUGAAGGUAAUACCAGCUGGAUGAAAUCAGAGUGCUGUUCCAUGUGAGAGUACUAACCAGCGGAUGACCGCAUGACAAAAUGGAGAGUGGAAAGCACUACACAGUGUGUGGGAGAAAAGAGCUGGUCCUGAACCCAGGAGAGGUGACCAGGGACAGCAAGAACCAUUUUGUCAAGCCUGCAAUAAAUAAAUCAAAUAUUUAAA